UGUCCUGUGGUGUAAUGGUAGCACAGAAGAUUCUGGAUCUUUUAGUCAGGGUUCGAGUCCUUGCGGGACAA
Molecule: transfer RNA, 71 nt
Filed under: Cytophagaceae bacterium
Lineage: Bacteria; Pseudomonadati; Bacteroidota; Cytophagia; Cytophagales; Cytophagaceae
Description: tRNA-Gln
Rfam family: tRNA
About the family: Transfer RNA (tRNA) molecules are approximately 80 nucleotides in length. Their secondary structure includes four short double-helical elements and three loops (D, anti-codon, and T loops).
Source: RNAcentral